This 443-nucleotide ribosomal RNA is filed under the name uncultured bacterium. Its description in RNAcentral is "partial 16S ribosomal RNA". It matches the Rfam family "Bacterial small subunit ribosomal RNA", at positions 338 to 795 of the family's 1533-position model. The record is from RNAcentral.
CCUACGGGUGACAGCAGUGGGGAAUAUUGGACAAUGGGGGGAACCCUGAUCCAGCGACGCCGCGUGAGUGAAGAAGUAUUUCGGUAUGUAAAGCUCUAUCAGCAGGGAAGAAAGAAAUGACGGUACCUGACUAAGAAGCCCCGGCUAACUACGUGACAGCAGCCGCGGUAAUACGUAGGGGGCAAGCGUUAUCCGGAUUUACGGGGUGUAAAGGGGGCGUAGACGGUUACGCAAGUCUGGAGUGAAAGGCGGGGGCCCAACCCCCGGACUGGUUUGGAAACUGUAUAACUGGAUGGCAGGAGAGGUAAGUGGAAUUCCUAGUGUAGCGGUGAAAUGCGUAGAUAUUAGGAGGAACACCAGUGGCGAAGGCGGCUUACUGGACUGUAACUGACGUUGAGGCUCGAAAGCGUGGGGAGCAAACAGGAUUAGAUACCCGUGUAGUC